GGAACUGACCCCACCCCAUCUGUCUACGAUUACGUCAAUUUCCUCCCACCAGCUGUGGUUUUCAAUGACUGCACGACUAAGAUAUGACCCAAGAGGGCGAAGCAGACUGAUAGAGACAUCUAUGAGAGGCCUCCUGGCUUCUAAGGAGACAGAGUAAGAAAAAGUCUAUUUUAUGUCUUUUGACACUUGUAUAUCUGAAAUCACACAACCUUCCUGCUCCCAGGAAGAGAACCAGCCGGGGAAUCAAGCUGAUCGUUGAGUGAAGAGCCCGAGUAAAGAGCUGUGACCACCCAGGCCAUUGAUCAGAUUGCCAGGAGCCCAGCCAAACUCCAGAAUCAGCCCAGCCCCAACAAACAUCAGACUGUAAAAGGUACCAGUGAUUUUCUGAUGGUGGAGAAUAUGAUGAAAGUCACAGAGCAUGGCCAGGAGCCCUUCACCUCACCAGGUGCUGCACAGUCAACGAGAAGUCACACCUGAAAGGACAAGAUAUCUGUGGAGGCUAGAGAAAUUGAAUCUCCUGGAACUGCUGCCGGAUAUGGAUACUGGGAACCAAACUUGUGUCCUCUGCAAAAGCACCCCAGGAUAUCUUAUUAUAAGUAUGUGAAUAUUUCAAAAUCUAAAAAAAGAAAAUCAGAAACUCUUCUGGUCCUGAGCAUUUUGCAAAAGGGAUGCUCAGCCUCUGUGAAUGAAGAUCUAAGCUUCAAACCCAUCAAUGUUUUACAAUGGUGGCUUGUCUUGGAGAUGGUCUCAUGACACAAGGGGCGAAGCAGGCUUCCCGUGUGUUUCAUCCUUAACAUCCAGGUCCUGGGCCUCUGACUCAGGCCAUCAAGUUUGGUGGAGGUGCUGUGACCUGUGGAUCCGUCUCACAAGCCCCAUUCCGAAUCCUUACAGCACAGAGAUGAGUAAUACUCAGAAAGUGAGUUGCGCGUCCUGUGGAUUCUGUAAAGCCACAGGUGGAGAAAACGUUUUAACAAGUUUGUUACAGUGAGCGCUUAACAAAUGUGCCCUGUCUCCCCCGACUUUUAAACUUUAUCAUUUUGUUUUUUUGAGACAGUCUUGCUAUGUAGACCAAUCUGUAUUUGAGUUUGACAUUCUCCUGCCUCAGACUCUCCAGUGCUGGGAUUACAGCCCAGAUAUAUAACUGAUUUAUUCAUGUGCUAAUAAAAUAAUGAAU
Molecule: long non-coding RNA, 1174 nt
Organism: Peromyscus leucopus (white-footed mouse)
Lineage: Eukaryota; Metazoa; Chordata; Mammalia; Rodentia; Cricetidae
Exons: 7
Source: RefSeq, a predicted model, not a curated record